Molecule: ribosomal RNA, 119 nt
Filed under: Anabas testudineus (climbing perch)
Lineage: Eukaryota; Metazoa; Chordata; Actinopteri; Anabantiformes; Anabantidae
Source: RNAcentral
GCUUACGGCCAUACCACCCUGAACACGCCCGAUCUCAUCCGAUCUCAGAAGCCAAGCAGGGUAGGGCCUUGUUAGUACUUGGAUGGGAGACCGCCUGGGAAUACCAGGUGCUGUAAGCU